This is a long non-coding RNA of Bombyx mori (domestic silkworm), 2241 nucleotides long. RefSeq lists it as uncharacterized. The record is from RefSeq and is a predicted model, not a curated record. NCBI's taxonomy places the organism in Eukaryota, Metazoa, Arthropoda, Insecta, Lepidoptera, Bombycidae. The transcript has 2 exons.
AGAAAAACGUAUUUAUUUAUUUAUUUAUGACGAAACUGAGUACAUAACUAUGAAUUUCGUAGAUACGGUUGCACUUGUAAAAUAUUAAUUUCGGUGAAUGUUUGCGCAAGCGUAUUUUCACACGUUAUUAGGAAAAUGAAAUAACAUCGUAAAGUAAAUGUUGAUAAAAACUUAAUAAACCAAUGUUGAAUGAGUGAGUAGGCGUUAUUGAGGUCAACUUGUGAUAUCUAUCGUAUUUUACGCGAUAAACCAGACGACAUGCAGGAGAGAAAAGUAAAGAAACAGUAGGUUAUUUAUUCGAUGGCAUUUCAUUUAUAAUUCGCGUUUAGGCUUAAUGAUAUUACAUAAAUGUUUAUUGGCGAUGGGUGUAAACAAACCUAAGAUAAUAAUUAUGUACCUUAUCGAAAAUCGUACAAUACAGUUUCGCAGUAAAAUAAAUUUCAACUUACCAUAUAUUUUGAAAUGUCGCGCACGUUAAUUGUGUAUGUAGUAGAGUGAAAGUAAUACGAAAGCAUUAAUAUGUAAGUUAGUCGUGACAGAUUGUAGUGGGGUUGUUGGUUGAAUGACGAGAAGAUUACGAAGUAUUAUAUCGAUGCAUGUGUAAAGUUAUUGCGGCGUGUUGUACCCGCGUGUGUUGCAACGACUCAAAAGAACUCUUUGUACGUACAUAAUUCACUGCGAAAUUAAGUGGGGUAGCUAGCUGUUUGGAAGAUGCACCAGAGAGAAAGUUAUGCAUUUCAUAAACUGUAGGGGUGUGUGUAAAGGGCGCUAUUGUGACGCGUGCCGGACGCGUGUUUGUGACACUAAAUAAUUAACCUGCGUAUUUUUCACAGCUUCCAUGAUAAAAAAAUGUAAUUUCUUUGAGAUGGUAAUUGUUGUUUAAAAAAAUUACACAGUAUAUCCGUAUAUAUCAAUAGUCAAGUGUUCAUGUGUAUCAAUCAAUCAAUAAUUUUUAAAUAAUUUCAAAAAAUAAACGUAUUUUCAUAGUUACAUCAGAAUUUUUUGAGAUUUUUAUCCCCCUUUUCAUCAAGUUCCCAUUUCACAUAACCUAACCGCAUUUAAUUAUUGUCAAGCUAUCAUUAAUAAUGCAUACUACGAGUACUACAUACAUUGAUGACAUUCUCAUUUAAUUACAUGGUAAUCGUUUUUUUUUAUAUAAUAUCUAUGAUAUUUAUGAUUACAGUACACAACUGAUUCGUUUUUCUAACUAGACAAAGGAGGUAUCUUCCAGCAUGCGUGAACCGACUCGAAACGUGCUCAACAAAAAACAAAAAAAAAAAUUCAGCGUAUAGAGUUCUUAGAACCAGAUUCUUCAUUACCAGUUCUUAAAACAAUACUAUGCGUACUUUGGAUGAUGAGCCCAAUAGAAAUUAUCGUUGUUAAUGAGUGAACAUUAAAAGUCGUUUUUGAUGGAGUAAAAUUGAUUGUUUUCUUUUUUUUGAGUGUCAUUAGAGUGUCAUUAGGGUAGUUUCGGAAAUGGAUAAGUCUGUGGUUUUUGGUAACAUAGUCCGGUAACAAGUUUGGUUGCUAAAGUGUUUUAUUACAUUUUGCUAUGGGGCAAUGCGGCCGAUGUAGAAAUGAUAUUUAUUCUGCAGAAAAGAGCUAUACGUGCUAUUUAUAACAUGCACUCAAGGGAAUCCCUGAGGGAGAAAUUUAAAGAAAUUAAAGUUCUCACUAUGCCAUCCCAGUACAUUUUUGAAAAUUUGAUGUAUGUUCGUAAACAUAUUGAGGAGUUUCCUAAACAGUCGGACAUACAUAAUAGAAAUACUAGGAACAAACACAAGCUUGUUGUGCCGAUGAGUAGGUUACAUAAGAUACGAAAUUCAUUCGGGUGUUUGUCUGUGCGCCUGUACAACAAAAUCCCACAUGAUGUUCAGAACCUACAUAUACAUAGGUUUAAGAAAACUAUUAAAGAACAUAUGUGCAAUAAAGCUUACUAUAAAGUCAAUGAUUGUCUAGAAGAUUGCACAAAGUGGGAAUGAGUUGCUCGCUCCAGGCAUUUCAAUAUUGUAGUAAUUGUUACGUUAUAAUACUCAGUGUAAAAAAUUCAUAUUUAAAAAAAAAAAAUAUUAAAAAAUAAAUAAAUAAUAAUUUUAUAUGUAAAAAAAAAAGACACGCCCGCUGAGUUUCUUGCCAAUUCUUCUCAGGACGGAGGCUAGUUCUUGUGAAUUGGCGGUAGUUCUUUUGACGUUCAACAAGUAUGUACUUUCAUUUAUGUUGAAUAAAAUUUUUUUGAUUUGA